Oncorhynchus tshawytscha (Chinook salmon) is the source of this 605-nucleotide long non-coding RNA. Lineage: Eukaryota; Metazoa; Chordata; Actinopteri; Salmoniformes; Salmonidae. The record is from Ensembl.
GUUGCCAUUAGAGUCAGGUCUACUCCCUCCCAAUCUGGUUGCUUUUUGAGUCAGUCCCAGGUCUAGUCCUUCCCAAUCUGAUUGCAAUUAGAGCCCAGUCAGUCUCAGGUCGAGUCCUUCCCAAUCUGGUUGCCAUUAGAGCCCAGUCAGUCUCAGGUCGAGUCCUUCCCAAUCUGGUUGCCAUUAGAGCCCAGUCAGUCUCAGGUCAAAUCCUUCGUAAUCUCGUUGCCAUUAGAGCCCAGUCAGUCUCAGGUCUAGUCCCUCCCAGUCAGUCUCAGGUCAGUCUCCCCAGUCAGUCUCAGGUCGAGUCCCUCCCAGUCAGUCUCAGGUCAUGUCCCUCCCAGUCAGUCUCAGGUCGAGUCCCUGCCAGUCAGUCUCAGGUCGAGUCCCUCCCAGUCAGUCUCAGCUCGAGUCCAUACCAGUCAGUCUCAGAUCGACUCCGUACCAGUCAGUCUCAGGUCAAGUCCCUCCCAGUCAGUCUCAGGUCAAGUCCCUCCCAGUCAGUCUCAGGUCAUGUCCCUCCCAGUCAGUCUCAGCUCGAGUCCCUCCCAGUCAGUCUCAGCUCGAGUCCCUCCCAGUCAGUCAGUUAUGAUCCUUCUUUUCCU